CCUGAAACCGUUGGUCUACAAACAGUCAAAGCAGCUUUAGGGCUGCGAUGGCGUGCCUUUUGAAGAAUGAGCCAGCGAGUUACGGUGUGUGGCAAGGUUAACCCGAUGAGGGGAAGCCGGAGCGAAAGCGAGUCUGAAUAGGGCGUUCAGUCGCAUGCCGUAGACCCGAAGCCGAGUGAGCUAUCCAUGGGCAGUGUGAAGCGGAGGUAAGACUCUGUGGAGGCGCGAACCGACUUCAGUUGAAAAUGGAGCGGAUGACCUGUGGAUAGGGGUGAAAGGCCAAUCAAACUCGGUGAUAGCUGGUUCCCCGCGAAAUGCAUUUAGGUGCAGCGUCGUGCGUUCAACGAUGGGGGUAGAGCACUGAAUGGGCUAGGGGUCCUACAAGACUACCGACCCCAAUCAAACUCCGAAUACCAUCGUUCCAGAGCACGGCAGUGAGACCUCGGGGGAUGAGCUUCGAGGUCGAGAGGGAAACAGCCCAGACCGCCAGCUAAGGUCCCAAAAUCUGAACUAAGUGGUAAACGAUGUGAGAUUGCGAAAACAGCCAGGAGGUUGGCUUGGAAGCAGCCAUCCUUUAAAGAGUGCGUAACAGCUCACUGGUCGAGUGAUCUUGCGCGGACAAUGUAACGGGGCUCAAGUUCAGUACCGAAGCUGCGGAUGCGACUCUUUGAGUCGCGUGGUAGCGGAGCGUCGAGCGCGCAGCGAAGCGGCGGGAUAACCCAGCCGAGGAGUGCGUUCGAGCGAGAAUGUUGGCAUGAGUAGCGAAAGAGGGGUGAGAACCCCCUCCGCCGUAUGUCCAAGGGUUCCUGGGCGAGGCCAAUCCUCCCAGGGUGAGUCGGGAGCUAAGGCGAGGCCGAGAGGCGUAGUCGAUGCACAACUGGUUGAUAUUCCAGUACCACCAUGUUCGCGACCGUUCCAAUACUUUGUUGCUAAGGGGCUGUGUUGACUUCGGUUAACACGAACCGACCCACAUUGUUGCGGAAAGCUAUAGGGGGACGCAGGAAGGUAGAUGAACCCGGUGAAUGGUAGAACCGGGGUAAGCGUGUAGGAGGAGGACCAGGCAAAUCCGGGCCUCAUAUACUCUGAGACGUGAUACCGAGCCGCUUCAGGCGAAGUCAUUAAUCCUAUGCUGCCUAGAAAAGCCCAGUAGCGAGUUGACAUGGUGCCCGUACCCCAAACCAACACAGGUGGACAGGUAGAGCAUACCAAGGCGAGUGGGAUAACUAUGGUUAAGGAACUCGGCAAAUUUCCUCCGUAACUUCGGGAUAAGGAGGACCCCAGUAGCGUGACGAGACUUGCUCUCCGAGCGUGAAGGGGUGGCACAAAAUUGAGGGAAGCGACUGUUUACCAAAAACACAGCAGCGUGCUAAGCCGUAAGGCGCUGUAUACGCUGUGGCUCCUGCCCGGUGCUGGAAGGUUACGGGGAUGGGUUAGUCCUUUGGGACGAAGCUCUGAACCUAAGCCCCAGUAAACGGCGGCCGUAACUAUAACGGUCCUAAGGUAGCGAAAUUCCUUGUCGGGUAAGUUCCGACCUGCU
RNAcentral lists this ribosomal RNA (1537 nucleotides) under metagenome. RNAcentral's name for it is "bacterial LSU rRNA". It matches the Rfam family "Bacterial large subunit ribosomal RNA", at positions 549 to 1992 of the family's 2925-position model. The record is from RNAcentral.